Molecule: ribosomal RNA, 253 nt
Filed under: uncultured bacterium
Lineage: Bacteria
Description: partial 16S ribosomal RNA
Rfam family: Bacterial small subunit ribosomal RNA
Source: RNAcentral
UACGUAGGGUGCGAGCGUUAUUCGGAAUUACUGGGCGUAAAGGGCUCGUAGGCGGCCAACUAAGUCAGACGUGAAAUCCCUCGGCUUAACCGGGGAACUGCGUCUGAUACUGGAUGGCUUGAGGUUGGGAGAGGGAUGCGGAAUUCCAGGUGGAGCGGUGAAAUGCGUAGAUAUCGGAAGGAACACCGGUGGCGAAAGCGGCGCGCUGGAUCUCUUCUGACGCUGAGGCGCGAAAGCCAGGGGAGCGAACGGG